This 384-nucleotide ribosomal RNA is filed under the name uncultured bacterium. RNAcentral's name for it is "partial 16S ribosomal RNA". It matches the Rfam family "Bacterial small subunit ribosomal RNA", at positions 355 to 731 of the family's 1533-position model. The record is from RNAcentral.
UAGGGAAUCUUCCACAAUGGACGCAAGUCUGAUGGAGCAACGGCCGCGUGAGUGAAGAAGGUUUUCGGACCGUAAAGCUCUGUUGUUGGUGAAGAAGGAUAGAGGUAGUAACUGGCCUUUAUUUGACGGUAAUCAACCAGAAAGUCACGGCUAACUACGUGCCAGCAGCCGCGGUAAUACGUAGGUGGCAAGCGUUGUCCGGAUUUAUUGGGCGUAAAGCGAGCGCAGGCGGAAGAAUAAGUCUGAUGUGAAAGCCCUCGGCUUAACCGAGGAAUUGCAUCGGAAACUGUUUUCUUGAGUGCAGAAGAGGAGAGUAGAACUCCAUGUGUAGCGGUGGAAUGCGUAGAUAUAUGGAAGAAUACCAGUGGCGAAGGCGGCUCUCGU